RNAcentral lists this ribosomal RNA (411 nucleotides) under Malawimonas jakobiformis. RNAcentral's name for it is "partial small subunit ribosomal RNA". It matches the Rfam family "Eukaryotic small subunit ribosomal RNA", at positions 30 to 432 of the family's 1831-position model. Lineage: Eukaryota; Malawimonada; Malawimonadea; Malawimonadida; Malawimonadidae. The record is from RNAcentral.
GCUUGUCUCAAAGAUUAAGCCAUGCAAGCCCAGAAUAAGCAUUAUUCACGGCAAAUCUGCGAAUGGCUCAUUAAAUCAGUUAUAGUUUAUUUGAUAGUGUUUACUACAUGGAUAUCCGUAGUAAUUCUAGGGCUAAUACAUGCACGCAAAGCCGACUUUUUGGAAGGCUUGUAUUUAUUAGGUAAAAACCAACCGUGUGCUGUUCGCAAGGGCGGUGCACGUACGGUGAUCCAUAAUAACUGCGCGAAUCGUAUGCCUCACGGCGACGAUGAAUCAUUCAAAUUUCUGCCCUAUCAACUUUGGACGGUAAGAUAGAGGCUUACCGUGGUCGUCACGGGUAGCGGAGGAUUAGGGUCUGACUCCGGAGAGGGAGCUUUAGAAACGGCCGCCACUUCCAAGGAAGGCAGCAGG